Long non-coding RNA from Alexandromys fortis (reed vole), 1190 nucleotides. RefSeq lists it as uncharacterized. Lineage: Eukaryota; Metazoa; Chordata; Mammalia; Rodentia; Cricetidae. The record is from RefSeq and is a predicted model, not a curated record. The transcript has 3 exons.
CACAUCUGGAGCUCCCUUCAGCUCGGAAUGCCACACAUCCGAAACUCCAGGCAAGAAAUAUCUCACUGUGUAGCUCCGGCUAUCCUGGAACCCACUAUACAGACAAACCUGGUCUUGAACUCACAGAGAUCUGCCUCCCAGGUGCUGGGAUUAAAGGCAAUCUUCCACUACAGGCUAGAAGCCUGCAGCUUUCAGAGGGCAGCUGGCUGCAGUGGAAGGACCUCGUCUGAGCAGGAAUUCACAUAGGAGAUGGAGACAGAACCAUCCUUCUGGCGCUGUGUGCACAUCUGGACCAAGCCAUGCCUGUGACUUUUGAUUCCUUGUGAUGUGACACUUACCGAUAUCCUUUCCUGCUUUCACCAGUUAUGUCUUCACCAUUUGCUCUCAGAUGUCUGAGUGCAUCACACCCACCUGCAGAGGAAACAGCCUGCCUGAUGAGGAGUCACAGUGAACGUUCACGGCACAAGUUCUAAGUGUGGAAAUUAUGGUGGAUAUUAAUUUAUUUUUAGUGUGUGUGUGCUGGCAGCUCUGCAUGUGCCCCCCCAUGUGCAGUGCUCCCCCCAUGUGCAGUGCUCCCCCAUGUGCAGUGCUCCCCCCAUGUGCAGUGCUCCCCCCAUGUGCAGUGCUCCCCCAUGUGCAGUGCUCCCCCCAUGUGCAGUGCUCCCAGAGGCCAGAAGAAGAGCACACUGGGUUCACUGGAGCUGGAGUUACAGGAGGUUUCAAGUUGCCCAAUGUCUGUGUCAAGAACGAAACGUUAUUGACUUUUUGCUCUGGAUGAUUGGAUCUGGCUUUUGACUUUCCCUGUCCCCACUACACAGAACACAUCCUGUCUCUGCUUCAUCUUUCCUUAAUUAUGUUGUGGUUUUGUUUAGAUCAGUAUUCACUGCUUAUGCUUUAGAGCAGUGUUCUCAACCGUUAGGUUGUGGCCCCUUUCCCUGGAACCACAGGUCAGAUAUCCUGCAUGUCUGCUGUAGGACCCAUGGGUCUACCCCUGCUCCUGGGGUUCAUCUUGAGGACAGUUUCUGGCCAGCCAGCUAAAGCAUCCUGUUUGUUCCUGUGCUCCCUCUGCCUCUCCUGGAGGUUAGCUAUAGGGCCUUGUUUACUCCACCUUGGGCAUGGUAAUUUCCCACCUGCCUGGGGGGUAUUCCAUUAUGCAGCAGCUGGGUAUAUAAAGUUUUUCCUAAAUUUGA